AACGCUGGCGGCGUGCUUAAUACAUGCAAGUCGAACGAAGCACUUUUGGCAGAUCCCUUCGGGGUGAAGCCGGUUGUGACUUAGUGGCGGACGGGUGAGUAACGCGUGGGUAACCUACCUUAUACUGGGGGAUAACAGUUAGAAAUGGCUGCUAAUACCCCAUAAGCGCACGGCACCGCAUGAUGCAGUGUGAAAAGAUUUAUUGGUAUAAGAUGGACCCGCGUCUGAUUAGUUAGUUGGUGAGGUAACGGCCCACCAAGACGACGAUCAGUAGCCGACUUGAGAGAGUGAUCGGCCACAUUGGGACUGAGACACGGCCCAGACUCCUACGGGAGGCAGCAGUAGGGAAUAUUGCACAAUGGGGGAAACCCUGAUGCAGCCGACGCCGCGUGAGUGAUGAAGUAUUUCGGUAUGUAAAGCUCUAUCAGCAGGGAAGAUAAUGACGGUACCUGACUAAGAAGCCCCGGCUAACUACGUGCCAGCCGCCGC
This 489-nucleotide ribosomal RNA is filed under the name uncultured bacterium. Its description in RNAcentral is "bacterial SSU rRNA". It matches the Rfam family "Bacterial small subunit ribosomal RNA", at positions 32 to 518 of the family's 1533-position model. The record is from RNAcentral.